Molecule: ribosomal RNA, 29 nt
Filed under: Yersinia pestis biovar Orientalis str. F1991016
Lineage: Bacteria; Pseudomonadati; Pseudomonadota; Gammaproteobacteria; Enterobacterales; Yersiniaceae
Source: RNAcentral
UCGAAGAGUAUGACUUCACAUCGCCACGG